Molecule: ribosomal RNA, 253 nt
Filed under: uncultured bacterium
Lineage: Bacteria
Description: partial 16S ribosomal RNA
Rfam family: Bacterial small subunit ribosomal RNA
Source: RNAcentral
GACGGAGGAUGCAAGCGUUAUCCGGAAUGAUUGGGCGUAAAGCGUCCGCAGGUGGCAGUUCAAGUCUGCUGUCAAAGACCGGGGCUCAACCUCGGAAAGGCAGUGGAAACUGAACAGCUAGAGUAUGGUAGGGGCAAAGGGAAUUCCUGGUGUAGCGGUGAAAUGCAUAGAUAUCGUCCAGAACGCCGAUUGCGAAGGCAGGUGGCUACGCUUCGUCUGACACUGAGGCACGAAAGCGUGGGGAGCGAACAGG